UUGAGGACAAUGCAUGAUUUAGGUAUGGGGAGGGCUUUAGUGUAAUUCUUAAAAAAUGAAAAACCCUAAAAAAAUGAAAAAUUAGAAAAAUCCAAAAAUAGAGAUACUUUUAGCUAAGUUGUCUUUCCCUCACUUGAACUUUAGGAGUAGUUGGUGUUAGCUUGUUUUCAAAAAGUAUAUAUAUGUAAUGUCUUUUUGAUAAUUUGAACGUAGUUAAGUAAGGUUGUCUUUUUGAAACUUGUAUCGACCGAUUUGUACUCUAAAUUCCAAGAU
Molecule: long non-coding RNA, 273 nt
Filed under: Daucus carota (carrot)
Lineage: Eukaryota; Viridiplantae; Streptophyta; Magnoliopsida; Apiales; Apiaceae
Description: long non-coding RNA (DCAR_LNC000168)
Source: RNAcentral